Molecule: long non-coding RNA, 171 nt
Filed under: Anas platyrhynchos platyrhynchos (common mallard)
Lineage: Eukaryota; Metazoa; Chordata; Aves; Anseriformes; Anatidae
Description: lncRNA (ENSAPLG00000027142.1)
Source: RNAcentral
AGUCUCACCCAGAAAAACUCGAUUGUUUUAUUGAUUACCUGCUUCCCCUGCUGCUGUGUCCAUCCACUGUGAAGAUCAUGGUGCACCUGGCAGCUGUGGAAAGCAUCUGGACAUGCACCCCUAAGGUGGGAGGUGAUGCAUCCAAGUGAUGAGCUGUAAGGCUGGGCCCUG